AAUUUUUUUUUCUGAAAUAAUUAGUAUAUACGCUUUUUGGUGAAAAUAGUAUAAACAUAAGCAUCAAUUUUAUAUCUAUUCUAAUUGAAUUUACUACAGUGUGAAUGAUAUUCUACCUAAUGAAAUCAAUCUUUUUAUAAAAAAUUGAUCUUCAUAAAUGUUUUUUUUUGCUUUACUAUAGUGAACUAGUGAACAAUAAAUCAUAUACAAUUUAAAAAUUA
This 221-nucleotide long non-coding RNA is filed under the name Brassica rapa (field mustard). Its description in RNAcentral is "long non-coding RNA (BRAP_LNC005790)". Lineage: Eukaryota; Viridiplantae; Streptophyta; Magnoliopsida; Brassicales; Brassicaceae. The record is from RNAcentral.